RNAcentral lists this ribosomal RNA (406 nucleotides) under uncultured bacterium. Its description in RNAcentral is "partial 16S ribosomal RNA". It matches the Rfam family "Bacterial small subunit ribosomal RNA", at positions 30 to 526 of the family's 1533-position model. The record is from RNAcentral.
AUUGAACGCUGGCGGCAGGCCUAACACAUGCAAGUCGAACGAGUGGCGGACGGGUGAGUAAUGUCUUGGAAACUGCCUGAUGGAGGGGGAUAACUACUGGAAACGGUAGCUAAUACCGCAUACCAUCGGAUGUGCCCAGAUGGGAUUAGCUAGUAGGUGGGGUAACGGCUCACCUAGGCGACGAUCCCUAGCUGGUCUGAGAGGAUGACCAGCCACACUGGAACUGAGACACGGUCGAGAUUCCUACGGGAGGCAGCAGUGGGGAAUAUUGCACAGUGGGGGAAAGCCUGAUGCAGACAUGCCGCGUGGAUGAAGAAGGCCUUCGGGUUGUAAAGUACUUACAGCGGGGAGGCGUUACCCGAAGAAGAAGCACCGGCUAACUCCGUGCCAGCGGCCGCGGUAGUUC